Long non-coding RNA from Exaiptasia diaphana, 270 nucleotides. RefSeq lists it as uncharacterized. NCBI's taxonomy places the organism in Eukaryota, Metazoa, Cnidaria, Anthozoa, Actiniaria, Aiptasiidae. The record is from RefSeq and is a predicted model, not a curated record. The transcript is spliced from 3 exons.
GUGGUUCUCAAGCUGGGGUAUCAACUUAGCAAGUGAAAAAGAACAAAGAUGCUUUGAUAAAGGCCAAGAAGUAGCUGAGAUCACUAGUGAAGCUGUUCMAUUUGAGUUUGCRAAAUCUAAAGAGAAGUCUGACAUACGUCUGGCAGCAUGUGCCCGAGUAACUGACUUAAAAUCAGUGAUACAUGGUCACCUGGAAAACAAUUUAAAGCAUAACAGACUUGUCUGGCAUGGAAUAAUUCCCAAAUGAAAUAUGGAUUAAACUUGGAGGGG